RNAcentral lists this ribosomal RNA (1371 nucleotides) under Triticum aestivum (bread wheat). Its description in RNAcentral is "partial small subunit ribosomal RNA". The record is from RNAcentral. Lineage: Eukaryota; Viridiplantae; Streptophyta; Magnoliopsida; Poales; Poaceae.
AUGCCCUAUAUAGGUGUAGUCUCACCCUCAGCAACGAGCUCCCUCUCUUUCCGCCUCCACUUCCUCGCGAGCCUCUCUCUUCUCCUGCUCCUCACAGCGGCGGCGGCGGCGAUGCAGAUGGCGGCCGCGACAAUCGAUGCUCCGGUGGCAGCUGCGCCGCACCCACAUCCCCAUGCCCAUGGCCCACAAGUACCGCACGGUCACGGGCACCCGCACCCUCACCACCACAUGCCGCAGCCGCGGUGGGUGGUACUUCCUUACCCGCCGCCGCCGCCUAUGGUGGCCGCGCCGCCCCCUCCUACACCGCAGUAUGUGAAGCAUUUCGCGCCGCAGGCAUCGGUGACGCCGCCUCCGCCAUCGACUGGAUCCGGCGGGAACGGAGGUGACGAGAACCGGACGAUCUGGGUCGGCGACCUCCAGUACUGGAUGGACGAGAACUAUCUCCACAGCUGCUUCGGCCCCAGCGGCGAGGUGGUGACGAUUAAAGUUAUCCGCAAUAGACAUUCCGGAGUUUCUGAGGGUUAUGGUUUUGUAGAGUUCUGUUCCCAUGCAUCAGCAGAGAAAGCACUUCAGAAUUUUGCUGGUCAUGUAAUGCCUAAUACUGACCGAGCUUUUAAGUUAAAUUGGGCAUCGUAUAGUGUUGGAGAAAAACGCUCUGAACUUGCUUCUGAUCACUCAAUUUUUGUUGGUGAUCUAGCUGUUGAUGUUACUGAUGACAUGUUGAUGGAACUUUUUGCUAACAAAUAUCGUUCUGUGAAAGGAGCUAAAGUUAUUAUUGAUGCAAACACGGGCCGUUCUAGGGGCUAUGGAUUUGUUAGGUUUGGAGAUGAUAUUGAUAGAACUCAUGCUAUGACUGAAAUGAAUGGUGUGUAUUGCUCCACUCGGCCAAUUCGCAUUGGACCUGCAACUCCUAGAAGAACUUCAGUUUCAGGUGAUUUUGGCACCUCUCCACCAACACAAUCAGAUGGUGACUCGACUAACAGGACAGUAUAUGUUGGCGGGCUUGACCCCAACGUUAGUGAAGAUGAACUAAGGAAAGCAUUUGCGAAAUAUGGUGAUGUUGCUUCUGUCAAAAUUCCUGUUGGGAAACAAUGCGGUUUUGUUCAAUUUGUCAACAGAGCUGAUGCGGAAGAAGCAUUACAAGGGUUGAGUGGAUUAACAAUCGGGAAGCAGGCAGUUCGUCUUUCUUGGGGCCGCAGUCCAGCAAGCAAACAGUCUAGGGGUGAUUCUGGGCAUCGGCGGAAUGGCAUGUACUACGGCACGCCUUUCUACGGUGGAUAUGGCUACACGUCGCCAGUUCCUCACCCAAACGUGUAUGCUGCGGCUUAUGGAGCCUACCCUUUCUACGGUAACCAGCAACUAGUGAGCUGA